Long non-coding RNA from Scylla paramamosain (green mud crab), 533 nucleotides. RefSeq lists it as uncharacterized. The transcript has 2 exons. Lineage: Eukaryota; Metazoa; Arthropoda; Malacostraca; Decapoda; Portunidae. The record is from RefSeq and is a predicted model, not a curated record.
UCUGUAGUCGAAUUUAGUAGAGUUUUGAAGGACGUUUACAUGUUUAUAAAGAUUAUUAAUCAAGAAUCCUACAUCAUCAUGAGAUCAAAGUGCCUCGGGAUACGCAUCAGUGGUAACUUGCUUGUGGAAGAGGCGGGAGCGAGGCUUGAGUCCAGAGGGAUAGGAGGCCAAGGAGGUGGACGCGGUGACGGAGAAAGGCCGAACCCGAUGGAAGCUUGGUGGCGAGGGCUCCUCCUUCUUCAGCAUGCAGGAAUUGAUCACCACUAGCACAAACACCAUCACGAAGUCGGCGAGGAUGCAAAAGAUGAACCAAACGUCGAUGAGUUUCAUGUAAGCAGUCUUGGGCAGUCCCGAGGCUAUCUGGCGGUGAGACAGAGACCAGCAGUCUGAAACUUUAUUACCUCGAUUCCCACUAACAGGCUUUAGUCAAAGAUCCUACGAUUUUCAAGGUUGUUUUCAUAUUUCUAUCGCUAGUUUAACAAGUAUGUUGCAUUAGUAACAGAUAAAUGCGUAUUAAAACCCGAUUAAAUAUC